AGCGAACGCUGGCGGCAGGCCUAACACAUGCAAGUCGAACGAACUCUUCGGAGUUAGUGGCGGACGGGUGAGUAGCACGUGGGAACGUGCCUUUAGGUUCGGAAUAACUCAGGGAAACUUGUGCUAAUACCGAAUGUGCCCUUCGGGGGAAAGAUUUAUCGCCUUUAGAGCGGCCCGCGUCUGAUUAGCUAGUUGGUGAGGUAAAGGCUCACCAAGGCGACGAUCAGUAGCUGGUCUGAGAGGAUGAUCAGCCACAUUGGGACUGAGACACGGCCCAAACUCCUACGGGAGGCAGCAGUGGGGAAUCUUGCGCAAUGGGCGAAAGCCUGACGCAGCCAUGCCGCGUGAAUGAUGAAGGUCUUAGGAUUGUAAAAUUCUUUCACCGGGGACGAUAAUGACGGUACCCGGAGAAGAAGCCCCGGCUAACUUCGU
This 432-nucleotide ribosomal RNA is filed under the name uncultured bacterium. RNAcentral's name for it is "partial 16S ribosomal RNA". It matches the Rfam family "Bacterial small subunit ribosomal RNA", at positions 29 to 506 of the family's 1533-position model. The record is from RNAcentral.